UGAUCUGUGGGUGUCUGAGGCCUGACCAGGCACAGGUAUGAGGUGCUGGAUCUGUGGGUGUCUGAGGAGGCCUGACCAGGCACAGGUAUGAGGCGCUGGGUCUGUGGGUGUCUGAGAAGGCCUGACCAGGCACAGGUAUGGGGUUCUGGAUCUGUGGGUGUCUCAGGAGGCCUGACCAGGCACAGGUAUGAGGUUCUAGAUCUGUGGGUGUCUGAGGAGGCCUGACCAGGCACAGGUAUGAGGCACUGGAUCUGUGGGUGUCUGAGGAGGCCUGACCAGGCACAGGUAUGAGGUUCUGGAUCUGUGGGUGUCUCAGGAGGCCUGACCAGGCACAGGUAUGAGGUUCUGGAUCUGUGGGUGUCUGAGGAGGCCUGACCAGGCACAGGUAUGAGGUGCUGGAUCUGUGGGUGUCUGAGGAGGCCUGACCAGGCACAGGUAUGAGGUUCUGGAUCUGUGGGUGUCUGAGGGGGCCUGACCAGGCACAGGUAUGAGGCGCUGGGUCUUUCGGUGUCUGAGGAGACGGGGCCAGCUCUGGUAAGGUCUCUGAUUGAGUCUUCGGGCUCUCAUCAGUCUCAGCACCUGACCGGAGGUGGGUUGGGCCCCAGCCCUCUGAGCUGCACCUGUGGAAGAGCAUUGAUUGGGGGGGGGGGGGGGGGCAAGUUUUGUGGCAGGAGGGAGGGGGCAGGUGUGCCAACCCUUCCUCAGCACCAUUU
This is a long non-coding RNA of Pipistrellus kuhlii (Kuhl's pipistrelle), 713 nucleotides long. RefSeq lists it as uncharacterized. NCBI's taxonomy places the organism in Eukaryota, Metazoa, Chordata, Mammalia, Chiroptera, Vespertilionidae. The transcript has 4 exons. The record is from RefSeq and is a predicted model, not a curated record.